GCGUUCGUGGUGUAGUUUUCAGCACGCUGGGCGCGUAUUCCAGAGGUCCGUGGUUCGAGUCCCGGCGAAGGCG
RNAcentral lists this transfer RNA (73 nucleotides) under Stegodyphus mimosarum. It matches the Rfam family "tRNA". Rfam says of the family: Transfer RNA (tRNA) molecules are approximately 80 nucleotides in length. Their secondary structure includes four short double-helical elements and three loops (D, anti-codon, and T loops). The record is from Rfam by way of RNAcentral. Lineage: Eukaryota; Metazoa; Arthropoda; Arachnida; Araneae; Eresidae.